AGACUAGCUAAGUCUUCUGGCCUCCAUCUUUCUCCCGUGCUGGAUGCUUCCUGCCCUGGAACAGCGGACUCUAAAUUCCUCAGCUUUUGGACUCUUGGACCUCCACCAGUGGUUUGCCAGGGGUUCUUGGGCCUUUGGCCACAAACUGAAGACUGCCCUGUCGCGUUCUCUAUUUUUGAGGUUUUGGGAUUCAGACUGGCUUCCUUGCUCCCUAGCUUCCAGACGGUCUAUUGUGGGACUUCAUCUUCUGAUCUUGUCAUGCCCUGACCACAGCUGCCCUUCAGGAGGCUGGCACGGAGCCACCUGGGGCCAUUGGGCUGUUUGUCAAGGGUGGGGCAGCAGCAACUUGCCACUCUUCCUCCAUGAGCCCAGCCAGAGCCUCCACUGGGCACUUAGCACAAGAAAAACCCUGCAGGAGCCGGAUCCAGAGCGCUGGGAUUCAGCAGGAGUGCCAGGAGAAUUCAACACAGGUGUGCUGCCUCCUCUCCUGCCAGGUGUGUGGCUGCACAGGAGUCUUGCUGAUGGUAAGAAUCGGAGUUCCUGGAUUCAGGGGGUACUGGGAGCAGCCGCCUGUGAGAAGGCUGGGCCAAACAAACAAAUGUUCUGAAUGAGGAUAAGAAAACAGCAUUUCUCCUGAGGGUCUCUGAUUUUCUGUAGCCUGCCCCUGGCUUGAAAACUGUCAGCUUAGCAAAGUGGACUCUCAAACCACCUGGAUCUCAUGUUUUUUGCUUGUCAGAUUCAUUGAUUGCUGCAGAAUAGGCUCAACAUCCCACAGGGUCUGCUUCUCUGACUGGGACAAAAGCGCUCAUAAGAAACUGAUGGGAGCGGCUUCACCAGGGGUGGCAGACAAUUCUGGCCAGGAGUGGGUGUCCGCAGUGGGCAAGAAGUGUGGGCUCCAUGCCAGGAGCAGUGGCGACAGCUUCUAGAAAUUGUCUAGUAGCCUGACAUCCUAAAGAAUGUCCUGGAGAGCUGGAAAAGCGGUUCUUCCAGACACAUGCAGGGAGCAGCGAAAUGAGAUGCAGUAGAAGGUUGAAUCCAGCUGGGAGCACAGUGCAAUUUAGUUAAGAGUGACUUCUGUGGCAUCUGCUGGUCGUGGGUGAGGGCUGGGGGAAGAUAAUACUAAUUUGGCCAUUAUUACACAUGUCUUUCUUGAAUCUUCAAUCAGAUUGUCAACUCCUUGAGGGUAGUAAUGGAAUAUUUUAUGUCUUUUGCAUUCUUCACAAGGUCGGGUACUCAGCCAUUGUUUAUUGGUUGACUAUUUGAUGCAUUCCGACACAAUACACUUGACCGGGCCAGGUCCUGGGAUCUUCAUUCAUAGGAGCAGUGUUGUCACCAGUAUCUGUUGGGCACCUGCUGAGAAGGAGCAAUGGCGGGUACUUUUGCCACCCGAGUUGGCCUGAGGUUGCUGAGUGUAUGAGUUUCCUAGGGCUGCCUUAACAAAGUGCCACCAACUGGGUGAUUAACAGAAAUGUCAGGUCUCCCAGUUCUAGAGGCGAGAGGUCUGCAACCAAGGUAUCAGCAGGGCCUGACCCCUCUGUGGUGUAUAGGAGGCCCCUCCUUGCCUCGCCCUGGCUUCUGACGAUUUGCCGGCCGACUGUGGUCUUCCUUGGCUUGCAGCUGCGUCACUCCAAUCCCUGCCUUUAUCAUCACAUGGCAUUCUCCCUGUGUGUGUGUGUUUCCAAAUUUUCCCAUUUUUAUAAGGACACCAGCCAUAUUAGGAACCGCCCUACUCCAGUAUGACCUCAUCUUAACUCAUUACAUCUUCAGCAACCCCGUUUCCAAAGAAGGUCACAUUCUGAGGUACUAGGGGUUAGGACUUCAAUGUGGAGAUCACAGUUCAAGCUGCCACACUAAGUGAGCUCAUUCACAGUGACAAGACUAGGGACAUACAAAGGGCCGGGGUGAAUAUGAAUGGUGUUCCAUGGUGCUGCCUGAAAGUGACUGGCAGCAGUGUCAGCAGGGGAGCAUGUCCUCUGUUCUCAGCAUUCACUAGAGAGGUGUGCUGAGCUGGGGCCCAGCUGGACACAUUGGAUGCUGUGCUCCAGAGGAGGAACUGCACUCACCUAUCGCUCUCCUUUGUAUGGGACAAGUGGGACAGAGCCUUGAUGGGGGGAACACACCACUGGGGUUCCAGGCAGCCUUAACUAUCGAGGAAUGGCAGGAAAUUCUGUCUGCCCAGCACCUGGUGACCCUGGAGCUCCUCAGUUUCCCGGGAAGUUGAGUUUUGGAGCAGUCUCUUCCAGAGAGGCUGGGAGUGCAUCACUUUCCCCCUGGAGGUGGCGGAGGCUGCUGGGCCCAACUAGCUCAUUGCCAGGCAAUCCAGAGAGAGUUCCAGACACCAGAUACUGAACAACCUACUUGUCUCCACACCUAGUAAAGCUUGGAUCCAAUGCUGCCAACUUUUCUGCCUCUCCAGUUUUGGAGCCCUUAAUGUGAAGGUGCAACCCAGAAGCCUGCAGGCUGUUCGUAGCCUGUAGAUGUGUUUUCUUCCCAGUAGCUGGUGUAUACAGUGUUUUUGUAUUAUUUUUCAAAUAAGCAAUACAUUUGUGUGGUUCAAAAAUUAAAGCGCUAUAGAAAGGUAUUCGGCGAAAUCUUAUCCCUGCCUCCAUUGGCCAGUCCUGCCCUGCCCCUCCCUUGUAACCACUUUUAUUAGUUUCCUAUACAACCUUCCAGGAUUUCUUUUUGCAGAUAAAAGUCAGUACAAAUAUAUAUCUGCCUCAUCCCUCUACUUCUUACAUAAUUAUAACAGACUCUACACACUAUUUUUAACCUUGCCUUUUUCACUCGAUUUAUCUUGGUGAUCUUUCCCUCUCAGUAUGUGGAGAGCUUCCUCAUUCUUUUUUUACAGGGGCAUAGUAUCCCAUUGUAUGGAUUUACCAUAAUUUAGCAAUCCCCUACUGAUGAACACAGGUUGUUUUUAGUCAUUUGCUGUUAAUAUUACAAGAAACACUGCACGGAAUAAACCUGCCAUUUCAUGUUGACCCUGAACGUGUGUAACAUUUAAAAAUUCUGAAAAAUCUUUGAAUAAUCAACAGAACUGGAAACACUCAGUUCUAGUAUGUGGACAACUGGUUGGGUUGGGUAGCAGCUGUCCUUUUAAAGAGACCUCCCUGCCCCGCUCUGGCAUCUUCCCCACCACCUCUUGCUGACCCUCUUGCGUUCAGCCUGAGCGUUGACUGCCAUCUAGCAACAUUGUGCUGUUUCUCUCAUAGAGUAUUAAGGAGGAAGGGAAAUCACUCAUGUACUCAUGUCUCUUCAAGGGGGAAACUGAAAACCAAGGAGGCUGUCUUUUUCCAGCAGAGGGAGGAGGGCAGACUUAAUAUGAAAGCGAUUCUUCUUCAUCGGCCCCUGCCCACUCGGCCCAUUUCUGUUAAUCUUCUGUAUGCUUGAGAUUGCAGCCCCUGCCUUGCCAUGUCCAGGCUUUCAUCUCGGGAGCUGAAAAGUGGAAGGGAAAGAACUCUGCUCUCUUCUUGCUUUUGUGCACUAUCUGAGUAAUUGCAUGGAGACCAGCAAUAAAAAUGAAAUACAAGACAGUCAGAAGUGUUGCUCCAUUACAUGGAUUCUCUCAGCAGACCCCCCAAGGCAGUGGUAGCACUAGCUCACUUUUCCAGACAAGGAAACAGUAGCAGAGUGAAGUGGCUUCACCAAGACUCAUAACUCGCACACAGAAGAACUAGGAUCAGAACCCAGGUUUUUCUGUCACUAGAACCUGACAUUUUAGCCAAUCUAUCAUGCUGCUCCCAAAGUCUUUUUGUUUUUUCUUGAGACAGAGUCUCGCUCUGUCACCCAGGCUGGAAUGCAGUGAUGCAAUCUUGGCUCACUGCAACCUCUGCCUCCCGGGUUCAGGUGAUUCUUCUGCCUCAGCCUCCCAAGUAGCUGCGACUACAGGUGCACACCACCACAUCCAGCUAACUUUUGUAUUUUUAGUACAGAUGGGGUUUCACUAUAUUGGCCAGGAUGGUCUUGAUCUCUUGACCUCAUGACCUGCCUGCCUCGUCCUCCCAAAGUGCUGGAAUUACAUGCAUGAGCCAGCUUACCCGGCCCCAAAGUCUUUUUAAAUAAGGAGUGGUUUACAGUUAAGCCUCUCACCUUCUAAGUCUGUCAUUACUGAUGCUGUGGAGAUGAUAGUCGUGACAAAGAUAAGAGCAGCUCUGAAAAUGGGCCAGAUGGCUACAUACUGCAAAAAAGGUGGGUGACAAUGCGUCUGUGGUCUCAUAACUAACGUGACGGCUGUUCCUUGACAGCUUUUCCCAUUUCAUAGAGUGGAAUUGGCUCCCCUGCCCUUUUGCUCUUUCAAUCCAAGAACAUGUAUUGAGCACCUUCUGAAUGCCAGGCACUGCGCUCGGUGUGAGUGACAAGCCUGGUGCCUGGAGGCUAGUUCAGGCAGGUCAACAGAAAGCUGCAGUGCCACCAGCUACAUGUGGUAUUGGUGACAUGGAUGCGUUGGGUUGUGUCCAGAAUGUGACAAAAGAGACAAAUACGCCAUGGAGCAACCAUGGACAACAAGGCGAGUGGCUUCCAGCUGUCUUGGGUCCUCGUCAUUUUACACUACUUGAUGAAGGAAGGAAGUGGGACCCAGAAGUGGUGGCUAUGAGCUAAGGUAUUGAGCCAUCCUUCUGCCCGCAGCCCAGGAUGAACAUGACCACAACUGGCAGCUCUCUGGAGGCCACUCGGGGUUGAAAGGUGGGCCAAAGGAACCCUCCCUCCCUUUGCUGCUCCACCUCAGCUUUUCUCAUUCCUGGCCAUUUGUUUAUCCUGUAAGCUGGGGGCUGGGGGUCUCCCAAAGUAUCACUCAUCCUGAGAGUUAGCAUUCUUCCAGCGGGGCAAAAUCCUCUUCCCUACUGAAGAAAUUCUAAACCCAGCCAGCUGAAAGAGGAAGAGUGCAGGGGUGAGGGGAGGAUGGGACCAAGAGGGCACAUUCCACUUGAUCUCUGAAGUCACACCUCAGCAACGGGACUUGCCCGCCAAGGCUUCUCGUCACCAUGCUUUGUUGGAUUUGUAAUGUGCUGUUUAUCUCUCUUCUCCCGCAAGUUUGCAUGCAACAGCAUCUGUCAUCUCUGUGGUUAUCUUAGAACAACUGGGGCUUUUGCUUUUUAUUUAUUCUUUCUCUGAGUGCAGUGCUAACCACAGCAGCCUACGGGCAGAGGGGUUGGGGAGGGAGUCAGUUGCUUUUCAUUGAAGUGCUAUGGUCUUCAGCUGCAGCUGGUGUGAGUGCUGAAACUGUGUGAAACAAAAGUGUUGAAACUCAGUCCCAAGUGACUUCUGGGGAUCCGUUGCCUGUGUUUCCUAUGGAUGAGUAAUUAGAAACGAGUGGUUUUCAGGUUGAAAAGGAGACUCCAGAGUCCUGAUGGAAUACAGACAGCAGGCACGUCUAGGGCCACAGACAGGUAUGUGUGCUGCUCUGUGCUGGCAGCUGUGUGCAGAUACAAAAGAAGUAUCCCAUACCCUCCUUGCCCUCAAGGAACUUAGUGACAGGAAGGAGAGCAAAAUUUACAGUUGGCCUACCCUCUUGGGCCUGUUUCCUCAUUACAGAAAUGAAUGAGGUUACACUUGAUCAGUAUUCCUUAUUUUAUUUUAUUUUUUUUUUAGAUUCAGGAGGUACACCUGCAAGUCUGUUACAUGGAGAUAUUGCAUAAUGCCGAGGUUUGGGGUUCUAAUUAACCCAUCACCCAAAUAACGAACAUAGUAUGCAAUAGGUAGUUUUUCAGCCCUUGUUUGGCGAGUGUUUCUAAUGGGGUCAGGCUGUCCCCUAGAGUAAUGCCUCUCACACUUUCAAAGAAGUUAAGCCAAAAGCCCGGUAUUUAGGAAAUGGUUGUUUUAGGAAGAGAAGCCUAAAUGGAAUAAAGACAAAACCUCGAAAUGACGAGAUGAUCUCCCUGCUUCAUGCAUUCUGUCUAGAUCAGAGCAUUUCCAAAUAUACACUGAACUGAAAAGGGCACAGUACAAUAUGCAGUGACCGCAAAGCAAGGAACCCAUGCGCAGGUCUGUAACAGGAAAUCUGAGACUUCAUCCAGCCGAUGUAGAAUUAGAUACUAGUUUAAAUUAGCAGAGGCGCCUCAAACUUGUUUAUAAAAGCUGUUUUAAAAAUAAUAUUCUUAUCACAUAUAUUUAUAUUUGUAGUACAAUGAUAAGAAAUCUCUUGCAAAAAUUAGCUAUCAUGGUUACUUCUUUGGGGUUGCCUUUUGUUCUUCCUUCUUACUCUGAUAUUCUCCUUCAAGAUUUACCCAACAACUUUUCCCAAUCCAUCCUCUUCUUCUCACCGCCCAUACUAUAAGGAUGUCAUUUUAAAAGCUUUUUUUUUUUUUUUUUUUUGAGACAGAGUCUCACUCUGUUGCCAGGCUGGAGUGCAGUGGUGCGAUCUCAGGUCACUGCAACCUCUGCCUCCCGGGUUCAAGGAAUUCUCCCACCUUAGCCUCCCGAGUAGCUGGGACUACAGGGUGUGCCACCACGCCCGGCUAAUUUUUGUAUUUUUAGUAGAGACGGGGUUUCACCAUGUUGGCCAGGAUGGUCUCAAUCUCUUGACCUUGUGAUCCACCCGCAUUGGCCUCCCAAAGUGCUGGGAUUGCAAGUGUGAGCCACCACGCCCAGCCACUUUUUUUUUUCUUUCUUUCUUUUCUUUCUUUUUUUUUUCUUUACUGCUAAAGACCGAAUAUAUGCCUCAACACAGUGGGUGGGAUUUCCAGACUGGAAACAUGUUUUCUGUGACACUUUGUCACUAUCCUGCCCCAUAUCACAGCGUAAUAAAUUAUCAUGACGCUACACUUAUACGUAAGACUGAGCUCACGAGACAGGAUCCUGUGCUUCCUUGUUUCCUCUGCUUGCACAUUUGUAAUUUGAUUUGGCUUGUUAUCUGUACCUCAGUGAAGGUUAUUUCCUUCUUCCUGUUAUCAUAUACGGCCAGGAAAGGGGGGUAACUCAUUGUAACACUUCUUUAUUCUAUUGUCCUCCUAUAUCCCUCUGAUCUUUUAUUUCCUUGUACUUCUUAUAUGAAGUGGCUUCUAUUUGUCUUCUGUUAAAUCUAAACUUAACCAUUAUAGGUAGGUGGAAGUGUUGACUACUUCAUUAUGUGUUCCAGUGCAGGCAUGCAUGAGCACGUACAUAUUGACAGACAUAUUAUUUUAUUAAGAAUCACAUUUCUGUGCUCACUUUGGCAGCACGUAUACUAAAAUUGGAAUGAUACAAAGAAGAUUAGCAUGGCUCCUGCACAAGAUGACAUGCCAAGUGUGUGCUCGCUCUCUCUCUCUCUGUGUAUAUACGUAUAUAUAUAAAAUAUACAUAUAGUAUGUAUUUAUAUAUAUUAAUCACAUUUCCUUUUUAUCCUUUUAUUAAAAUUAGGGCUACUUUAUGCGUUUGGGUCGACCGACUUUUCUAGGAAUUGUAUUUCAGGUGGUAAAGAUGGUGUUUCUAAAUAUUUGUUACAAAAAUAGGGCAUUGAUUGGAUAGGGUGGAGCACCACUGGGUUAAAUGAUCUCCAAGGUCUCUGACAUUCUUUGUGCAACAUUUACAAAACAAUGGAUGACAGCCUGAUUCAUGACUCAGUCAGAAAAAAAAAAA
RNAcentral lists this long non-coding RNA (7554 nucleotides) under Homo sapiens (human). The record is from RNAcentral. Lineage: Eukaryota; Metazoa; Chordata; Mammalia; Primates; Hominidae.